GGAUAAGCCCUUACGGGGAAAGAUUUAUCGCCGAAAGAUCGGCCCGCGUCUGAUUAGCUAGUUGGUGAGGUAAUGGCUCACCAAGGCGACGAUCAGUAGCUGGUCUGAGAGGAUGAUCAGCCACAUUGGGACUGAGACACGGCCCAAACUCCUACGGGAGGCAGCAGUGGGGAAUAUUGGACAAUGGGCGCAAGCCUGAUCCAGCCAUGCCGCGUGAGUGAUGAAGGCCCUAGGGUUGUAAAGCUCUUUUGUGCGGGAAGAUAAUGACGGUACCGCAAGAAUAAGCCCCGGCUAACUUCGUGCCAGC
RNAcentral lists this ribosomal RNA (307 nucleotides) under Bradyrhizobium sp. UFLA05-24. RNAcentral's name for it is "bacterial SSU rRNA". It matches the Rfam family "Bacterial small subunit ribosomal RNA", at positions 171 to 512 of the family's 1533-position model. The record is from RNAcentral. Lineage: Bacteria; Pseudomonadati; Pseudomonadota; Alphaproteobacteria; Hyphomicrobiales; Nitrobacteraceae.